UGCAAAAUAGUUCGGUCGGUAGAGCAUGAGUCUCUUAAUCUCAGAGUGAUGGGUUUGAAUCCCAUGUUGGGCAA
Molecule: non-coding RNA, 74 nt
Organism: Podarcis lilfordi (Lilford's wall lizard)
Lineage: Eukaryota; Metazoa; Chordata; Lepidosauria; Squamata; Lacertidae
Source: the annotation of a GenBank genome assembly